CUUGGUCAUUUAGAGGAAGUAAAAGUCGUAACAAGGUUUCCGUAGGUGAACCUGCGGAAGGAUCAUUAUUGUAUAACAGAGGUGCCUAAGGCUGUCGCUGACCUCCAUAGGUCGUGCACGCCCGAAGGUGCUCUCUCACAUCCAUCUCACCCCUUUGUGCAUCACCGCGUGUGCUCCCCUAUUGGGCUUGUUCCAAAGGAGGGUUCGCGUUUUUAUAUGAACACCAAUUUUAAAAAGCAUGUGUAGAAUGUCUUACUUUUUGCGAUUACGCGCAAUCAAUAUAACUUUCAACAACGGAUCUCUUGGCUCUCGCAUCGAUGAAGAACGCAGCGAAAUGCGAUACGUAAUGUGAAUUGCAGAAUUCAGUGAAUCAUCGAAUCUUUGAACGCACCUUGCGCCCCUUGGUAUUCCGAGGGGCACACCCGUUUGAGUGUCGUGAACACCCUCAACCUUUUUGGUUUCUUGAUCAAGAAGGCUUGGACUUUGGAGGUUUUUCUUGCUGGCUUUCCCUUUGAAGCCAGCUCCUCCUAAAUGCAUUAGUGGGGUUUGCUUUGCGGAUCCUUGACAUGAUAAGUAUGCUUCUAUGUCUUGGGUUUGCACUGUUGCCAUAAAACCUGCUUCGAAUGGUCUUCAAAUGAAGACGAUGUUUGAGUUGCAUUGCGACUCGAACCCAGUGACCUUGACCUCAAAUCGGGUGAGACUACCCGCUGAACUUAAGCAUAUCAAUAAGCGGAGGA
RNAcentral lists this ribosomal RNA (737 nucleotides) under uncultured fungus. RNAcentral describes it as "eukaryotic LSU rRNA". The stretch from base 283 to 436 matches the Rfam family "5.8S ribosomal RNA". Lineage: Eukaryota; Fungi. The record is from RNAcentral.